GAUGAACGCUAGCGGGAGGCUUAACACAUGCAAGUCGAGGGGCAGCAUAGGGUAGCAAUACUCUGAUGGCGACCGGCAAACGGGUGAGUAACGCGUAUGCAACCUACCCUGUACAGGGGGAUAACCCGGAGAAAUUCGGACUAAUAUCCCGUAAUAAUAUCCGGAGGCAUCUUUGGAUAUUUAAAGUUCCGACGGUACGGGAUGGGCAUGCGUAACAUUAGCUGGUUGGUAAGGUAACGGCUUACCAAGGCUAUGAUGUUUAGGGGUCCUGAGAGGGUGGUCCCCCACACUGGUACUGAGACACGGACCAGACUCCUACGGGAGGCAGCAGUGAGGAAUAUUGGUCAAUGGGCGCAAGCCUGAACCAGCCAUCCCGCGUGCAGGAAGACGGCCCUAUGGGUUGUAAACUGCUUUUCCAGGGAGAGAAACUUACGCACGUGUUGCGUGACUGACGGUACCCUGGGAAUAAGCAUCGGCUAACUCCGUGCCAGCAGCCGCGGUAAUCACGAG
This 510-nucleotide ribosomal RNA is filed under the name uncultured bacterium. RNAcentral's name for it is "bacterial SSU rRNA". It matches the Rfam family "Bacterial small subunit ribosomal RNA", at positions 28 to 529 of the family's 1533-position model. The record is from RNAcentral.